This 253-nucleotide ribosomal RNA is filed under the name uncultured bacterium. RNAcentral's name for it is "partial 16S ribosomal RNA". It matches the Rfam family "Bacterial small subunit ribosomal RNA", at positions 524 to 776 of the family's 1533-position model. The record is from RNAcentral.
UACAGAGGUCCCAAGCGUUGUUCGGAUUCAUUGGGCGUAAAGGGUGCGUAGGUGGCGCCGUAAGUCAGGUGUGAAAUCUCGGGGCUUAACUCCGAAACUGCAUUUGAUACUGCGGUGCUUGAGGACUGGAGAGGAGACUGGAAUUUACGGUGUAGCGGUGAAAUGCGUAGAUAUCGAGAGGAACACCAGUGGCGAAGGCGAGUCCCUGGACAGGUCCUGACGCUGAGGCACGAAAGCUAGGGGAGCAAACAGG